This is a long non-coding RNA of Engraulis encrasicolus (European anchovy), 1968 nucleotides long. RefSeq lists it as uncharacterized. NCBI's taxonomy places the organism in Eukaryota, Metazoa, Chordata, Actinopteri, Clupeiformes, Engraulidae. The record is from RefSeq and is a predicted model, not a curated record. The transcript has 3 exons.
AGCCAAGAAAGCUACACUGUACCAAAAGCAAUAGCCAUACUCUGUCUUAGGUUUUCUUGGGAAAUCGACUGUAAAAUAUAACCAUGGUCUUUUGAACUUACAUAUACAUCAAGCAUGAGCACAAUUUACUAAAUGGUUUCGAUGGAAAUGAAACCUUGACGACCGGGCGAGCGGCUAUGUUAGCCCACCUGCAGUCAAAUAACACAGGCAUCCAGCUAGCUAGCUAACAAGGAAUGUGAUGUUGACAAUUAUUCUAUUACACGCCAAUUUAACAAGACCAAAUUGCUCAACAUUUCGUUGGUUGACCAAGGAGGGUCCUGUGGUUGAAAACAGGGCAUUUUAAACGUUGUUGGUGAAAACACGAUUUAUUAGGAAACCCUUUUUGUUGGCUGUGGUGGUGCGGUACAUAUUCAUUUCGAUUCCCAGACUGUCGCUCCCAACCCCAAUCGCUCCCCGGUCGGCACGCUCCCACUAGCCAGACUAUCGAGCCCACCGCCAUAUAACGGAGCUAGUUAUCUUUUUGAUGUUAGUUUUUUUUUGUUUAUAACCCUAAACUUAACCCUACACCUAACCCUAACUCUAAACCUAAUCCUAAAUUGCUUGUAUGUGGCAGUGAUAAUACGUGAAAUAUAAUCGGGUGGGAUCGAACGUCUGGGAGUGAUAAAACCACCUGGGGCUACACGUCCCGGAGUGAUCUCCGUUGGGAGUGUCCAUCUGCCACCGUUCAUUUUCAUGGAGACUGGUUGUUCGUAGUUUCACCUAGGGAUGUUAUAACUUGAGCUAACAGGUGUUCGAACUAACCGUAUGUUUGGAAAGCCCAGUUGUGACUACACACCAAACUCAUAACAUAGCAUAUUGACCAGGCAAGCCUUUGAUUCGAUUUGGUCACCUAACUAUACCUAGUGUAGAGCGACUGGCCACUGCAUUGAAACGUAGGCUUCAAUGGGUUCAAAGGGUUCUAUUACGGUAAUUACUCAGUGUGCGUGGCUGCACGAACUCAGCUGACACAUCCAACACAGACUUCAAGCAGUUGAUACAGGCUGCUAUUUAGUGGUUGUGACGGCAUUUGAUUGCGUUUUUGUUUUCAUCAUAUAACAAAUUUGGCGUAACCUCUGGUAGGUACACAGAAUACAGCAGUCGGAUCACUUGUCUAGCUUACCUUGCUCCAGUGCAGGCAGCUGUGGAGUUACGUGUGAGUAGCUAUGCAACCUGCUCCCACUGUCUGUCAUUUUUUCAUUCCUAUCCGUGAAUAGCUUGGAAAGCCAGAUGCAGUCGAAUAUUGGGUUUAUGUUUCCUUGACAUUUAUGUCUCUGUUCUGACUCAGACAAUUUUCUUGUAUAGAAUUUGAGAGGCUUAUUGUGGAUCAUGGAAAGUUAUAUUCUGUAUUUUUUCCUAAUGGCCGCAAUUCUCAUCUUCAGAAGUUCCUGUUACAGACGGUCAUGAUGAGUAGAAGAAGGCAACAUGAUGAAGCAAAACUCCAUCACCACUACGUUGGAGUCUUCCCAUUCAGUCAUCAUCCAAUUUGCUCCAAAGAAUCACAUACAAGCAGACGCUUCUUACAGAUGGCUGUCCUCUAGAAUGAAAAUGCACACCAACCACCGGCAAACAUCAAAAGCUAAUCCAACCUUUGGCUUUGUGUGGAAAGGUCUUCGGAAACCCUGUGACUGAUGCAAUGUUGGUGCCCUAGAAGACAAGUCAGCACAGUUCAGACGAGCCAGCCAGAGGAGGUCACCGCCAGCCUUGUAUCGAGGUUCCAGCGUCUUCAUCGGGGAACUCGGCAUGGAUAUGCAAGACGACACUCGAAUCACUGAUGGACAAAUGCCUGAAACGGCUGGAAAAAUAGAAAAGAUGGUUACAGAGACUGUUAUUGCUGUUCUUCUUUCAGUACAAUAUUUGCCUUCCAUAAAAUAUUCACAUGUUCCAAUUUAAUAUUCUUGAUGCUGUUGUAAAUAAAAUUUGCACACUGUC